UUUCCGUAGGUGAACCUGCGGAAGGAUCAUUCGCAAUAAGUGUUUUAUGGCACUUUUUAAACAAUCCAUAUCCACCUUAUGAUCAACAUUAUGCGACUCUCUAUCGUUAUCUUUUAGGAUACGGAAGGGGGAACCUCUACUACUCACCAACAUCACCUUUAACUUAUUUAUCUGAACACUUGUUAUCACGAAUUAACUUAAUUAGAAAAUACAACUUUCAACAACGGAUCUCUUGGCACCGGCAUCGAUGAAGAAAGCAGCAGAUCGGAAGACCUCACC
This 279-nucleotide unclassified non-coding RNA is filed under the name plant metagenome. RNAcentral's name for it is "partial contains small subunit ribosomal RNA, internal transcribed spacer 1, and 5.8S ribosomal RNA". The record is from RNAcentral.